UGAUCUUGUGCAGUGAAGCAGAAAAUUGGCGCAAAUGUAACAAAAAAAUGUUGACAGUGUGCUGCAGCAAGCAGCAUUUAUUGAUGGUGAAAAAACAAAAUUAAAAAACUUCAAUGGAUAAAUUGCGACAAAGCGCCAAUAAGAAAUUAAAGCAUAAACAACAACAAACGCCGGCAAGUGAAGAAAUAAACAAAAAGUCUUGGAAUCAGAAAUCAAAUCAAAUCGAAUUGUUUCAACAGCUGAUGCUAAUCAACGGCAACCAUCAAAAUAUUUUGUCAUGUGUUGUGAGCGGAAAUGCCAAUUGAAGCUACCUUUAGUUAAUAAUGGAAUCUCGCCCCAUGAAGAUGCCCUGGCACCGAGUGGAACUCAACCUCUGAAUGCUAUGGUGACUCAAGAGAGCGUCUGUACCAUGAUUAUUCAUUUUUACAUAUAAGAGAUACUCUAACUUGAACAAUUAUAUGAGAUUAAUUCAUUC
Long non-coding RNA from Drosophila innubila, 475 nucleotides. RefSeq lists it as uncharacterized. The record is from RefSeq and is a predicted model, not a curated record. NCBI's taxonomy places the organism in Eukaryota, Metazoa, Arthropoda, Insecta, Diptera, Drosophilidae. The transcript has 2 exons.